This 21-nucleotide non-coding RNA is filed under the name Caenorhabditis elegans. The record is from RNAcentral. Lineage: Eukaryota; Metazoa; Nematoda; Chromadorea; Rhabditida; Rhabditidae.
UUGUGUUAAAAAAAGUAGAAU